RNAcentral lists this ribosomal RNA (253 nucleotides) under uncultured bacterium. Its description in RNAcentral is "partial 16S ribosomal RNA". It matches the Rfam family "Bacterial small subunit ribosomal RNA", at positions 524 to 776 of the family's 1533-position model. The record is from RNAcentral.
UACGGAGGGUGCAAGCGUUGUCCGGAUUUAUUGGGUUUAAAGGGUGCGUAGGCGGCCCUGUAAGUCAGUGGUGAAAUACUGCAGCUUAACUGUAGCAUUGCCAUUGAUACUGUAGGGCUUGAGUACAGAUGAGGUAGGCGGAAUUGAUGGUGUAGCGGUGAAAUGCGUAGAUAUCAGGAGGAACACCGGUGGCGAAGGCGGAUCUCUGGGCCUUACCUGACGCUCAGGCGCGAAAGCUAGGGGAGCGAACUGG